Long non-coding RNA from Prunus dulcis (almond), 377 nucleotides. RefSeq lists it as uncharacterized. The transcript is spliced from 4 exons. NCBI's taxonomy places the organism in Eukaryota, Viridiplantae, Streptophyta, Magnoliopsida, Rosales, Rosaceae. The record is from RefSeq and is a predicted model, not a curated record.
CGUGAAUUAUGAUCCGAUCAAUUGGCUUGAGUCAUUGGGUAUUAUUGUUGGAAUUAUUUUCUUGGUCUUGGGAAUCUUAUUCCAGUUUUUCAACUUCACUGCAGAUUCAAAUCUGUUGAAAGGUUUGCUCAUGAGGACAAGGGUGAUUUUGCAACUUCACUAAAGCAUUUUAGAGUCAAAACCUCUACAGAGGAGUAGAAAGAAUGUAAGCCACCUGUACAGCAGAGCUAGCAAGACCUAGAUCCCCUUCCACCACCCAGUACCAUAUAUAUAAACACCUGCCCAAACUCUUUUGAACAAUGAGCAACUAAAGGUUGCCCAUAUUUUGAUGUUUUUAUAAUUGCUUGAUCUAUUAAAAUAUGCCCAAUAUUUUCACA